This is a long non-coding RNA of Hibiscus syriacus, 255 nucleotides long. RefSeq lists it as uncharacterized. Lineage: Eukaryota; Viridiplantae; Streptophyta; Magnoliopsida; Malvales; Malvaceae. The record is from RefSeq and is a predicted model, not a curated record. The transcript has 3 exons.
UUUUUGUAGUUGUGGAAGAGAAUUUGUUCAGAGACAGCUACAGAGAUCAACCUUUUUCUUGACAAUUGGAAAUACCUUCUUGCCGGAAUAGUUUUUCAGUAUAUUCAUGGUUUAGCUGGCCGAGGAGUUCAUUAUUUACAUCGGCCAGGGCGAACACUUCAGGAUCUUGGUUUCUUUCUUCUUCCCGAGCUUGGCCAAGAUAAAGGCUAUAUCAGUGAGACAUUGUUCAGCUGUGUCUUUUUAUCAUUUGUAUUG